UACGUAGGGAGCAAGCGUUGUCCGGAAUCAUUGGGCGUAAAGCGCGCGUAGGUGGCCCCAUAAGUCCGCUGUGAAAGCCAAAGGCUCAACCUUUGAAAGCCGGUGGAUACUGUGGGACUAGAGUACGGAAGAGGCGAGUGGAAUUCCUGGUGUAGCGGUGGAAUGCGCAGAUAUCAGGAGGAACACCAAUAGCGAAGGCAGCUCGCUGGGACGUUACUGACACUGAGGCGCGAAAGCGUGGGGAGCGAACAGG
This 253-nucleotide ribosomal RNA is filed under the name uncultured bacterium. RNAcentral describes it as "partial 16S ribosomal RNA". It matches the Rfam family "Bacterial small subunit ribosomal RNA", at positions 524 to 776 of the family's 1533-position model. The record is from RNAcentral.